GCCUGGUUGGCUCAGGGUGUAGAGCAUGUGACUCUUGAUCUUGCGGUUGUAGGUUUGAGCCCUACAUUGGGUG
Molecule: transfer RNA, 73 nt
Filed under: Felis catus (domestic cat)
Lineage: Eukaryota; Metazoa; Chordata; Mammalia; Carnivora; Felidae
Also listed under: 1 other name
Rfam family: tRNA
About the family: Transfer RNA (tRNA) molecules are approximately 80 nucleotides in length. Their secondary structure includes four short double-helical elements and three loops (D, anti-codon, and T loops).
Source: Rfam by way of RNAcentral